GGCAAAAUAAGAAAUAGUAGAAAUGGUAAAAAGGCGCGGUUGAAAAUCCGCGUGUCCCUGGUUCAAUUCCAGGUUCGGCCACCA
RNAcentral lists this transfer RNA (84 nucleotides) under Gammaproteobacteria bacterium. RNAcentral's name for it is "tRNA-Phe". The record is from RNAcentral. Lineage: Bacteria; Pseudomonadati; Pseudomonadota; Gammaproteobacteria.